CGGAUCUCGAAAGCCUGUCCCAGUUCGGACUGGAGUCUGCAACCCGACUCCACGAAGUUGGAUUUGCUAGUAAUCGCGCAUCAGCCAUGGCGCGGUGAAUACGUUCCCGGGCCUUGUACACACCGCCCGUCAAGCCAUGGGAGCCGGGGGCGCCUGAAGUCCGGGACCGCGAGGACCGGCCUAGGGCGAAACUGGUAACUGGGGCUAAGUCGUAACAAGGUAGC
This 224-nucleotide ribosomal RNA is filed under the name uncultured bacterium. Its description in RNAcentral is "partial 16S ribosomal RNA". It matches the Rfam family "Bacterial small subunit ribosomal RNA", at positions 1268 to 1500 of the family's 1533-position model. The record is from RNAcentral.